UUCAGCCCCAUUUCAAUCCUUUUGUAUUCCUCUUCUUCAUCAACUAUUUUUCCAUUGUUUUCUUCCCCACCUGGUUUCAGUAACGCUUCAGCAAUACACCUUGCUAGAACAACCCCAUCUUCCAAAGCUGCACAUCCACCUUGCCCAAGGUCUGGUGUCAUGGGAUGAAGGGCAUCACCAGCUACACAAACGUUGCCUUUGCUUAUAUUGCCCCAUAGAAGCUCCCAAGGUCUUCUGUAUCUUAACGGGGAUGAUGCAAUGGCAUCUAGCUCAGUUUUUCCUACAACAGAUUUCAUCUCAUUGGGUAUAUCUUCAAGCUUGCUCAUUACAAAUUGCUUCAGUUUAACUGGGUCGUCUUCUAAUUCUUCAUCUAAAAAGUAUAACAGUAGAAUUUUAGGGAAGAUGGUACUCGAUUUAAGCACAAACAGGGAAAAAGGGUGGGGGUUAGGUACCUUUGGUGGAUGGAAUCCAAGUCAAAAACCAAUAAACAUUCUCAUCAUUACAAGGGAGGAAGCCUGAUCGAAGACCCUUGCCAAGGAACUGCCUGAAUUUUAGUCCAAAGCCAUGGCCACCUUUGAAAUUUGCGGAACCCCUAAUUGCUGAUCGACCUGUGAAUACAGGCUUGUCGAAACCAAGCCAUUUUGCCACCACUGAGUUCACUCCAUCACAUCCAAUCAAUACCUGUUAUCAUUUACAAUCAAGAAUUGAACUCUUGAACAAUAAAUUAUGGUUUUCUUGAAAAUUAUACACAAUUAACCCGAUUUUACCUUAGUUUUGAGGAUGGUUCCAUCAGACAGAUGCAGUCGUUUGAAGAAGCCAGAUUCGUCAAUGGAAACCACUUUAGAAGAGAACCUGAUGGUAUCGCUGGGGAGUUCCUUUGCUAAAGUUUCCAACAACAAUCUCCUUUGAAGACACCGAAUUUCAUGACCCUUAUAUGAUAUCUCUGAAGCUGGCUGGUCUAAAAAUGUAGAGGCAACGAGUAUGCUGCACUCAUAUUCAACCACCAUCGACGUCAGUUUAUAGCAAAAUGAAGCUUGGGACUUCAAAAACAAGGUUCAAUGUAGUUAAAUACAGUACCUUGGCGUAAGGUAAUGUUGAUGCCGAAGAGAUUCACCGAUGCCAACAGCAUCCAAGGCUUUCCAGGCAUUGCUCCAUGUCGUGAACGCAAAGCCAGUGAUCCUUAACUCGUCUGAUGAUUCCAAUACUAAACUACGAAUUCCAAGCCUGUAAGAGUUUAGAUUUAGAACCAGUUACUGCUAUGUAUUUACAUUUAGAGAUUCUGAAUUUUAAGCUAAUAUGAUCGUAUGGAAGAACUGUUGGUGCGGGUUGAUGUACCUGUGAAGUCCCAAGGAUGUGGUCAGACCAGCAAUUCCAGCUCCCACAAUCACAACGUCUUCAACUAUUUCCAUCACCACGCUUUUGAUUUACAGAGGCUAAAACUAUAGUUGCAAAAUGCUCUUUAUUCUUGACAAGUCUGGUGAGCAAAUGAUGGUGUGGGGAAUCCAGAUCCAGGCGCAAUUCUAUAUAUAAUAUUUAGUCAAUUUUGUGUGGUCUGGUCAGAAAAUGGCCGUCAGCAGAUUAAACUUAGUCCGCAAGUUUGACUUGUAUCCUGUGGUCUUUCUUCGACAAGCUCUGCCAUUCCCACGUUUCCUUUCUUUUUCAAUGAUAUUUUAAGAAUACUCUCCUUUACUCAAAUACAAAGAUUCCUUCAAUAUUUGUAUGUAAAAUUUUAUAAUCUUGGAGCCAAAAACAUUUCAGUACAAGGGAAUUUAACGUUCGUAAUUAUAAUAUCAUCAUUUGACUGAAAAUUAGGUCAAAUGUAUUUUUGCGAAAGCCUGUGUCAGAAUCAUUGUUUGAGCUCAAAUAGUUUGUAUUCAUCAGCUUCAACUUGUAGGGAAGCAAUGGGGAUAAUAUUUUAUUUGUUAUAUACUAAAGUAUUUAAUAAGUUUUUUUAUUGUAUUCUGACAUCUAUCCAAGAAUGUAGAUGUCAUCUAGAGGCUUCCAGGUUAAAAUACAUUAUCUUAAAGCAAACAAAGAAUAAUAACAAGACCUAAAUUUAAAAUUUGAUAAAAAUGCUCAAUUCAACUGGGUCCGAAUUGAGAGCAAAAAGUAGCCAAGUAAGGCCUGCCGAUGAGGCAAAUGAAGUGUUUACUACCGCAGCAGGUAUCACUUGGCGGCCAAGAAAUGAUUAAAAUGUAACAUUAAAAAAGUUUCAAUGAGACUAAUUUUAAAAGGUGGACGUUUUAAUCAAGAUUGUAUGGCCAUAGGUAGGAAAUUUNNNNNNNNNNNNNNNNNNNNNNNNNNNNNNNNNNNNNNNNNNNNNNNNNNNNNNNNNNNNNNNNNNNNNNNNNNNNNNNNNNNNNNNNNNNNNNNNNNNNCAACGACGCCAAAUGAUUGAACUUUGAGUUUCAUGAGGACCACAGAAAAUUUGAGCAUUAUUGAGAUUCUUUCCCAACAUUCAUUAAAAAAAGUCCAUUACGUACAAUUAAAAUCUACACACAUGACUGAAUUGAUUUGGAUCCGCAUGAGUUACUAAUGUCUUAUUUUUAAUCUGUUCAAGCUUGGUUUGGCAUACACUAUGAACAACAUUUUAUGACACGAAGCUUGGCCGAAUUACAAAACUAAUAUUUCCAAAAUAUGUGAAUUUCGCAUGGUAUGCACAAAUUUGUCAUAUAUUUAAUUAUUUUAAAUCAAUUCUUUUAAAUAUUUUAUAUGGUAAAAGAUGUUUUUCAUUUUUAAUUGAUUUAUCAUAGGGAUAUAACUAGGCUUAAUUGAAUAGGAAACCUUCAAAUUAUAUUUUUUGUAUAACAACCCUAUACUCGACUUGACUAUCGAGUCAAAUAUAGGAAUGUCACAAUUGAGUGCCACUAAGAAACCAGUCAGUUCCCAUUUAACUAAACCAGAAUUGAGAUCCAACUAUUUACCAUUCAGCCACUAAGUUUUCCAAGUUUUUCAGUAGAUUCCGUCGAUCUUGCUUUCUCUUUCAAUUAACUCCAACUCUUCCUUAAUUUUUGGACCUUAAUGAAAACCGGGUGUAACACUUGAGGCAUAGCCUCUAAAGGUAACCCUUUAUGUGCAUGAUACUGCUAUCACGCCAUCCAUGUAGACUGGUAAUGUCUAACUUGUUCCUUCAAAACCAACCCCACGUCAUCCAUUGAUCUGCAAUUAAGGCAAAACAUNNNNNNNNNNNNNNNNNNNNNNNNNNNNNNNNNNNNNNNNNNNNNNNNNNNNNNNNNNNNNNNNNNNNNNNNNNNNNNNNNNNNNNNNNNNNNNNNNNNNGUUUCCGAAAAAAUUUUUACACCAUUUCCAGUGUUUGUUUGGGGGAAAAUGAAAUCCUUUAGUAAAACAUUUUCCAAAACACGGUAAAAUCAAACCCAAUCCUCCGAAAAAUGUCUUACGGCUUCAAAAUUGGUAAGACAUUUUCCCUUCUUCUCUAAGUAGACAUUUUCCAUUCUCUUUUAAGCAGCAGACAUUUCUCAUUCCUCAAAGCUUCCGCCUCUCCUCCUCAUCUCUGCCUCGCCAUCUCUGUCUCUUAGCUUCAUCUUCCUUCUCUAUCUCUCUGCUUCAUAGAUAUGUCGGUGAGUCACCCAAAAGCUUCAAGUUUUUAUGAAAUUGGUGAUUUUUGCUGGAUUUUCCAGAAAUUGGAAAAAGGAUGAAAACUCAUUCUCUUCUUCCCUACACCACUCGACCCCCACUUCAUCACUAAAGGGAAGCUUUCCCUUUUAAUUUUCUUGCUAUUUUCACUAUAAAAAUCUCAACAUUUCUACCUUUAAAGCUUCAGUUAGUAGAAGCGAUUGACCCGAUUCAUUUAUUAAGUACAUGAUUAUACAUCUUGCUUAUUUUUGCUGAAUUACAAUGAUAUCGGUAUUUCUGCAACAGGCUUCUUUUGUUUCUUCCUUUUGAUUUCUGAGUUUUUGAUCCACUGCCUUGAGAGAGUGAAUCUUUUUCCUGAAGGUAUGCUUUGGGUUCAUUUAAAAAUGCAUGAAAAAGGCACCGAUGAAAUACCAGUAAAUUCUUGGUGACAGUUUAUAUUACUAGGAUUUGGAUUUGUGUUUCUAGUGUUUGCCCUUUUUUGAGUGGAAUUGUUAUAGCUUUGAUUCCAAUUUUAGAGACCAGAUAAGAAGAGAAAAUGGAGAGAAAAAGAAGAAUAUUUGGUAUUUUUUCUUUCAUGAGAAGUUGUGAAUACACUUGAUAAACAGUGCAUGUUUUAGCUCUUCUCUCAAUUAUAAUAGCUUUUACCUUCAACUACUUCCUUAUACCAUCUUGCUUCGUUGUUUCCUUCUUGCCUACUAGUUUCACGACACUCUUCUUGAUUUCCACUAAAGCAAAAAGAUGGUCAAGCAACCAGUAUGUUUACAUUUAGAGAAAAAGAAAAUCAGGAAUUUCUCCAUUUCAAUUACCCUCCCCUUCUACAAAAUCUGAAUCACAACUGAUUAGGGACCUUGCCUCGGACAGAGUAUCCGACUCCUGGGUGGUUCUGGGCCGCCUGGAGCUUCCUUCACCACCCAUGUCUUUCACCUUCUUUCGCCUACUUUUCUUUGAGUCUUUUGUGGUUGUCUCGGUUGUUUGGCUUGCAUAGAGGAUAGUAAUCGUGUACUUAAUAAGCAUGUAGCAGAUUAGUAGCGUCCCAUGUGGAGAUUUUAGCUUCACCAGUGGUGCACUAAAUAAUCCUUUUUUUUUUCAUGGAGACAGUAGAUUCUUUUAUGUUAAGCAUACUAGCAAAUAGUGUAUUCCAUUGUAAUUCCUCCUAGGCUCCUGCUAAUGAAUGAUAUGGAUGUUUGAGUUAUGCUAAUUGAAUUUCAAAUGCAGUUUAUCCUAAGGUGCUUAAUGUUUGAGAAUGGAUGUUAAGCAAUAUUAUUUGUUUAGUUAUUUCAAGGAUAUCAUACUUUUUUGUAGGGCUAUUGAGCACCCAACUUUUUCAGCACUUAUAAGACCAUUGUGUGAUCUGUAUUCACUUAUUCCUCAUCUUCUAGUUGUAACGCAUAAGAAACUCAGGGUAUGUAGAUGUUUUUGUAGUUUAUGAUAUUCUGAAUGACGUGGGUCUUAUUUACUGGAAUAAAUUGUUAAUGCUUUUAGUCCUUUGCAUUAUAAUUGAUUCCAUGGUUUAGUUUUAGCAUUGAGUUAAUGGAUUAAAAGGAAGUAUUGAGGUGAUUCUCCUUUGCAGUUUAACAUGGGGAAUGAUGUGUUGUCUUUUGGUGAUUUGAAUGUUCAUGGAAGUUGAGUUCUUCUAGUAAUGAGUUUGAGAGCUUUGACGGAGGUAAUAAAGGGAAAGCUGCUGGUUUUUAUGGUGUUGAAGAUUGGGGUGAAACUGGUGGCAUUGAUCCCUUACCUUCUGAUUAUGGAUUAGGCUCAGGAGUUGCAAUGGGCAAGCACUAGGUUUAAAGGCAAUUAGGAUUUUAUUGAUGUGCAUGUAUAAGUUUUUUAGCUAAUGUCUGGUUCAUCAUUUUUUGCUGCAGUGAAAUUUAUGCUAAUGUAUAAGAGACUUUAUGCUUGAGAUUUUGGACUCAUUUUCAUAUGCCAAUUGUUUGUGAAAUGAGUUGGUAACAUGCUGAACAUGUUUAAGAGCAUGUAGGAGACCAUUAGCACAUCUUGAAAUUCUAUUUGUUUGAGUUACUCCAUCACCAAAUUUUGCGUCUUUCAUCCAAAUCCUCAAAUUUGAACCUAAUAAUAUAUUGAUUUCUAAAUGAAUUCCAUUCAAAUUUCCCAUUCAAAUUCCUGAUUAAAUAUAUAAUGAGGGAUUAAUUAAUUAAUUAAUUAAUUAUACGGGAAAGAUAACCUAAUAAUAUAUAACAAAAUCUUGCACAAAUCAAACUCAUGAUUCAACACAUUAGUUACAAUUCUUUCACAAUUUCCUACAAGAAAAUUCAUUUUUCAUGCUUUCAUUUUAAGUGGUACUUUCAAAAAAAUUAUAUAUGUAAAAACAAUUUAUUAAUAUAUAUUAAUAUAUAUUAAUAUAUGUAAAAACAACUUUUUCGGAAAAUAUUUUCAGGAAAUCUGCCAAACAGCAGAAAAUAUUUUACAUAGAUUUACCAAACACCAGAAAAUAUUUUCCAGUAAAUCAUUUUAUAGAAAAGUAAAACAUUUUCCAGAAAUCAUUUUACGGAAAACAUUUUACAGCCAAACAAACAGACAUUUAGUGAAAAUCUACACAACUGGUUUGUAAAUGACUCUUAAAGUCUCGAGUAAUAAUUGAUGCACAAAUUAAAUCUCCCUAGGUAAUAUAGAAGAUCCUGAAAAUUGACUGGUGUAAAUGUCUCCUAUACGUUCUUCUUGAACAAUCAUUGGUGAUAUAUCGGUGGCAGAUUUUAGAUCAGUCAUACGCUUCCUAACGACCCCUUUUGAGACUGAAUAACGCCAAGCUUUGUUUCAACAUCUUACUCUCCCUUGUUGGUUUGUCUCAAUAAAGAUAACCACUAAAGCAGAUGCAUAGAUCUUCAUCUAACUUUGGCAGACUUGCAGUCCUUUCACCAAAAUGGCAUAUUCUUAACUUGAUUCCUUCAUUCCGCGCCUAAUACAAAAUCUACUUACUAUAUUAUCCAUUCAUUUUCUUCUUUAAAACUUAGCUUGUGCGUAUACCAUUUUUAAAGCUAAACCUAUUUGCUUCCAUCUUCUAAUGUGGCCUUCGAAUAUAAGACUAGGCGGAUAUUCAAGCACUACUCUUUUCUUACAGAAUUGCACUUGUAAGAUAGUCCCACUAGACUUUCCUUAUUGUCUAAAUAUAUUUUCCCUAAAUCAGAUAGUCCUAAUGGACUUCCCAGCAAUAGGUAGUCUCCAACGAACUAUCCCAUUGUUGGAUCGUAUAAGGCAGAUUUCCCAUUUAUAAGAUAGUCCUUACUGGACUUCUCAACGUUAGAUAGUCCUAACGGACAUCCUCUUCACUCGCUACUCCUUGGCAGACUUUACAGAACAAUUAGUCUUUGAUAGACAUUCGACGUAAGAUAUUCCUAAGUGGACUUUCCUUUUUUGGCGACUUCUUUUCCAAGAAACACUUAGAAUUAGAAUUUGGAGAAGCGUUUCACUUCUUAUAACCAAUGUUGGUUUGUUUAUUACCUCUGGCGGACUCUUAACGGUGAAUACGUAUUUGCAAAUACACUGAAAGAAAACCUCUUUCCACGCAUAUCUGCAUACAAGAUGCUUUUCUAUAUUCUCCUUGCCUUCGCAUCUUAGUGGAGCCUCUUAUUCGUAGCCUACCAACGCUUCCAUAUGUGCCAUAAUCUUUUAUGACAAACUUUUCAUCAUGCGAAUCAUAUAGUGGUUUUCACAUAAUGAGAUUUUCUAUUUACUGUCCUGUCGGACUUCAUUUUACCAUAUGGGUGAACCUGUCCUUCAAUGGAUCAUGUCAUGGCUAGCCAUGGACUUUCGACUCCGAUGAGUUAGUAAACCAUUUACAUGGUGUUGCUCCGUAGAGCUAGUAAACCAUUUAACCAACCAAACCUCCUCAAAUCCCUUUUUCAAUUCGUCCAUUCCUCAACUACGCCAAUUUUCUUAUCUUCAACUAACCCGUCAAUACUUCUCUUCAUACUCAGUAUUUUAUAAACAUGCAUAUCACUACAAUCAACAUAAUCUAUUCAUACCAUAUCAUGAAGCACACCACAUUUCAAUCAAUACACAAUUAUACUCAGUUAAUAGUAACAUUCUUGCAAUUCUCAUACUUGCACAAACCUAUGCAUUCAUAUAAUCACCAUACAAUCCUAUACAACAACACUCAUACAUAACCAUAGACUUAGACCAAACUCAGUACAGAACAAGCAAGCAACACAACAACCAGUAAACACCCAAAUUUGGAGUACAAAAACUCACCUAUUGUCUUUCAUCCUCGCCAGCUUAGCUUUUCCCAUACCAAAGCUUCUUUCGUCCUGGAAGCUAAGCACAAGAGGUAAAAUUCCAAUUAAAUCGAAGGUAUUCAAGCUUUAAAACACCAAAUUCUGUAAUAUGCAGAAGCUUUUCAGAGAUUUCAGAAAUUCUUACUUCUCUUUUUCUCAAAUCCACGAAUACAAAAAGAUUAAGAAUCUUAACGGCUUAACAGAUUUUCUACUUUCCAGACUCAAACCACGAAUAUAGAGUUUUUCUAAACUUUUUCUUCUUUAGAAUAACCAAAGAAGAUGUACAGAAGAGAAGAAGAAGAACCCUUCACACACACACACAUAUCCUUUUGCGAUUCACCAAAGUCCCAAAUAAACCAUCCAUCGAUAAUCAUUUUAUUUCCCACUAAGGAACUAGUUGGUUCCAGCUUAACUAAACCAGAACUGAGACCUAACUACCUACCAUUCGGCCACUAAAAUUUCCAGAUUUUCAGUAGAGUCCGCUGAACUUACUAUCUCUUUUAAUUAACUCUCAAAUCUUCCUUAACUUUCGAACCUCAAUGAAAAUUGGGUGCAACAAAAGCAGUCACAAAAUAUUGUGUUAGGGUUUCCAAGUUCGGGUUACCAACAACCCUGAUUGUUGGCCUGGCUGUACCCUAAAGUUGAAAUCAAGGGCUGAAACCGAUAAAUGCCUUCCUAUUGAUCAUUCCGACAUUUCUUGAUAGGAUUUUUAUAGCAAUAUUAUGAAACUAUUGCACAACUGUGUGGUUGGACUUUCUACUUCUUGCUCCUGAUACAAAUUUACUAGAACUGUUGUCAAACCCGGAGCACCUUUCUUAACAUAGACAAAAUGGGCAUAUAACUCUAGUAUAACAUUUCCACUAGAGCAAUGCGAAUUGAGCAUCGCAUUGACCUCCAUGUCACCUUUGAGCUCAAAUAUAUUAUAUUUAACAUGGUUCAGUGACAUUAGAUAUAUAUAUUUCAAGCUCAAAAUUCUUCUUCAGCUUGAAGUCGACACUUUUCUUCUAAUUCUUGAUCGAAACUCAUACAAUUUUAUACUCUGGUUGAAAGCCAAUUCUGUAGGUUGGGUAGAUACAAAAACGACCCCAAUUUUGGUGUCACAAAUUUGAUCGUCGUAAUAAAUAACGACUCUAAUUCGUCUACUUAUCUUCAACCAAAUAACUCAUUUUACAUGUUUAAACCAAAGCAUUAUAUAAAAAAUGAGUAUCCAUUAUUCAAAUUAAAACAAUGACACUUACUUAACUAAUGUAUUUUGUUGGGUUGAUUUUUAAAAUUCAUAUUUUAAACAUCAACAAUCUUAUCAUUAUGCAAAUCUCCUUAUGAAAAUAAUCUAUUUAAAAUUUCAGUAUGGAACCUCUACAUAGAAUGCCUUCAUUUUAUAGGAAAUACUACCCCUGGAUAUCAAAUAUAACUUCAAAAUGUUCGAAGAGAUUGGACAUGACAAGUCUUAAAAACGCUUCUUAUUAGAAGUGUUUUCCUGAAAAGUUUUUUAAAAGCGCUUCUUAUUGGAAGUGUUUUUUCUAAAAAAUUCGGAUGUGAUGUCUGAAAUUUAUUCCGGAUUCUUGGGCCCAAAAAUCCCAAGUUUAGGGUUAGAUCCUAACCCUAAUAAGAAAUCCCGUUACAAAAUUUAAGAACUUGAGAAUCCCGAGAUAAUUUUCAAACAUCCCAUCCUGGGAAUCCCAAACAGUCAUGGGUUCCCACAUAAUUCUUUUUAAAAUUUUCCCUAGUUACCUAUAUAAAUAAGGGGUUUUGCUCCCCCUACUCCAUCAGCUCCCUCACUCAUUGUCCAUUAGAAAAAAAUAUAUUUUUUUCUUUUUUUUUAGUUGAGUGUUGAAAUUUUGGGAGGUAAAGUUUGUUUGUGUUAGAGUUUUAGGGAGAACUUGUGAUAGUUUUAAGGUAUGUUUGAGUUUGCGGUGCCGCUCAGAGACUCACACAUUUCAUUUGUCAUGUGGGUAGUGCACGAUCACCUUAGAUAACUAGGGCUUCUAAUUGAUGGUGGUUAUGCGGUCAUAGGUUCAAGUAUAACUCGGGCCCCCAAUUGACGGUGAUUUUGCUGUCAUGGGUUCAAGUUUCAUGCCACCAGAAGAAGAUGCUUUAUAAACCCCAUACAUAACUUUGAGAUCAUAAUCAUAGGAAAAAUGGGCUCACUUGUAUAAUCAACUUAUUCUUUUUCUCCAUCAAAGUAGUAUCCUUAACCUCAUUAUUCAAAAUAUGUGUCAAAUGUGGGGGCAAGAAAACUUUUAGAGGUAGUGACAAAUACGAUGGAGGAAAGCUGAAAAUCGACUCGGGGCGGCAGAGGUUGUUGUGAUUAAAGAACUCGUUGUUGUGAAAGUCUUCUUGCCCCCAUCUCUGACACAAAUUUUGGAUAAUGAGGUUAAGAAUACUACUUUGAUGAAGAAAAAGAAUAAGUUGAUUAUACUAGUGAGCCCUUUUUUUCCUAUGAUUAUGAUCUCAAACCUAUGUAUGGGGUUUAUAAAUCAUCUUUUUUUGGUGGCAUGAAACUUGAACCUGUGACUGAAUAACCACCGUCAAUUAGGGGUUUGAUUAUACUUGAACCCGUGAUCGCAUAACCACCAUCAACUGGGAGCCCUAGUUAUACUUGAAUCCGUGAUCGUAUAACCAUUUUGAACUGGGAGCCCAAGUUGCAAUGCGACAUAUUCUAAGGAAAUUGUGCACUCCCCACACGGGAAAUGAAAUGUGUAGGUCUUCGAGUGUCACCGCAUCAUCAUGAACUCAAACAUACCUUAAAACUAUCACAAUUUCUCUAUAAAACACAAACACAAAUAAAUCUUUCUCCCCAAAUUCUCAACACCUAACACAAAAAAGAACAAUUUUUGGAAGGACGAAAACGCUUCCUGCUGGAAGCAUUUUCAGCAAAUGUGGCAAUCAAAAGGCUAAAAGUGCGUCAUGCAGGAGGCGUUUUCUAUUUCUCUCUCCAAAUUCUACCUAUUUCCUUAAAUUUGGGAAAAAUUGACCUAAAUUAUUAAUUAACUUUUAAAAAUGGCUUUUUUUUUACUAAUUAACCCAAUAGCUUUUACCACAUAGAUUAAUAAGUACGAUUUAAAACAAUAAUUUAAAUGUGAAACCAAUAUUAUUGAUAAUGUACACUCUAAUCGAAAUCACGUUAACAAAAUAAUCUUCUUUCUACAACCAAUUUCUAUGUUUUUUUUUCCUAAUAUAAAAUAUUACUAUGUUAAAUAAACUUAGAAGAUAAUACAGAAAUUUAUUCAUUCAACAAAUGCUAAUCAAAUUUUCAUAAUAAAAAAAAGGGGGGGGAAGAAAUGCUAAUCAAUAUCUGAGCGUGCCGCAAUCAAAACUAGCCUUUCUUAACAGCAUCCCAGGUAAGAAUCUGGAAAGGAAUUUAUCUCAGAGGAAGUUCAUAAUCUUCCCGCUGUUUUGUUGUAUAUAACCCACCAUAGAAGCUGUGCUAACUAGAUCAAUACUUCUCCAUCUUCUCUCUUGAGCAUAAUUUUUCAGCCCCAUUUCAAUCCUUUUGUAUUCCUCUUCUUCAUCAACUAUUUUUCCAUUGUUUUCUUCCCCACCUGGUUUCAGUAACGCUUCAGCAAUACACCUUGCUAGAACAACCCCAUCUUCCAAAGCUGCAUAUCCACCUUGCCCAAGGUCUGGUGUCAUGGGAUGAAGGGCAUCACCAGCUACACAAACGUUGCCUUUGCUUAUAUUGCCCCAUAGAAGCUCCCAAGGUCUUCUGUAUCUUAACGGGGAUGAUGCAAUGGCAUCUAGCUCAGUUUUUCCUACAACAGAUUUCAUCUCAUUGGGUAUAUCUUCAAGCUUGCUCAUUACAAAUUGCUUCAGUUUAACUGGGUCGUCUUCUAAUUCUUCAUCUAAAAAGUAUAACAGUAGAAUUUUAGGGAAGAUGGUACUCGUUGGAUAAAAUGGCAAUGGCAGUAGCAAAGAAAGAAAAAUCGAAUGAAAGAAAAACAAAAGAAAGACUCAGCAAGAAANNNNNNNNNNNNNNNNNNNNNNNNNNNNNNNNNNNNNNNNNNNNNNNNNNNNNNNNNNNNNNNNNNNNNNNNNNNNNNNNNNNNNNNNNNNNNNNNNNNNUGACAGUUACCUACUAACCUUCGCAGCACGUUUUUUCUUUACUAAAAAUAUAGCAACUUGUAUACAAAAGAAAGCUGGCAUACCAGCUAUUACAUCAGUCAAUCUUUCCUACUAACUUAGCUAACUCAUUACAAAGAUUUAGGCUAAGUUCCAUAGGAACAAAAUAUUCAAAAAAUAAUUUUAUAACUGAACCAACUCCAUUUCUUUGCUACAAAACAGUAUAGCAGCUAAAAUUGUACAAUUUGCUGCUGUUGGUCUUUUGACCAAUUUGUUGCUGUUGGUUCUUUGUUGCAAUGCAGGCCACGGCUUCAACAGGUACUCGAUUUAAGCACAAACAGGGAAAAAGAGUGGGGGUUAGGUACC
This 12248-nucleotide long non-coding RNA is filed under the name Gossypium raimondii (Peruvian cotton). RNAcentral's name for it is "long non-coding RNA (GRAI_LNC001621)". Lineage: Eukaryota; Viridiplantae; Streptophyta; Magnoliopsida; Malvales; Malvaceae. The record is from RNAcentral.